CUUAAAACGCCGGUUCUCGUCCGAUCGCCGAAGUUAAGCAACGUCAAGCCUAGUCAGUACCUAGAUGGGUGAGCACUUGAGAAUACCAGAUGCUGUAAG
Non-coding RNA from Acanthosepion pharaonis, 99 nucleotides. The record is from the annotation of a GenBank genome assembly. NCBI's taxonomy places the organism in Eukaryota, Metazoa, Mollusca, Cephalopoda, Sepiida, Sepiidae.